CACAGCCUGCGCUUGGAAAAGGUUUCGGCCCGAAUGCUUUGUUCCCAAUGAGUCUAUGGGAAACCUCUAAACAGAACGCUCAAUUAAUCAAAUUGACACUUGAAUUACUGAUGGUCUAUGGCAAUCUCUAAGUUUUUUUCACAAACACACUUAUUGACGAAAUGAGAAACAUUUUUUGGGACGUCUAAAUAUAUGUAUCUACAUACCCACCGUGUAUAGGGAUGUGAGGGGGGGAUAGAAGGGGCCCCCAACCUACAUUCGAGCGUUGGGCUGCUUCGAUCCGCACGUCAAGCGACAGACAAAUGUUGUUUAAUAUGCGACGUUUGACUUUGUGGCCCAUGGAAACAAAAAACAGGAAGUGCGAGUGGCUUGCGUGCGAGUGGCAUGGCAUUGUGGUUGCUUCUGUCCUGUCCGGUGGAGUGAGAAAUGUGUGGGUGGAACUUGAGGGGCACCUGUGCGAGUGUCUGUU
Molecule: long non-coding RNA, 469 nt
Filed under: Drosophila guanche
Lineage: Eukaryota; Metazoa; Arthropoda; Insecta; Diptera; Drosophilidae
Source: RNAcentral